Molecule: ribosomal RNA, 301 nt
Filed under: uncultured bacterium
Lineage: Bacteria
Description: partial 16S ribosomal RNA
Rfam family: Bacterial small subunit ribosomal RNA
Source: RNAcentral
CAGCAGCCGCGGUAAUACGUAGGUGGCAAGCGCUGUCCGGAAUUAUUGGGCGUAAAGGGCUCGCAGGCGGUUUCUUAAGUCUGAUGUGAGAGCCCCCGGCUCAACCGGGGAGGGUCAUUGGAAACUGGGAAACUUGAGUGCAGAAGAGGAGAGUGGAAUUCCACGAGUAGCGGUGAAAUGCGUAGAGAUGUGGAGGAACACCAGUGGCGAAGGCGACUCCCUGGUCUGUAACUGACGCUGAGGAGCGAAAGCGUGGGGAGCGAACAGGAUUAGAUACCCCCGUAGUCCCUGUCUCUUAUAC